RNAcentral lists this long non-coding RNA (818 nucleotides) under Helianthus annuus (common sunflower). The record is from RNAcentral. Lineage: Eukaryota; Viridiplantae; Streptophyta; Magnoliopsida; Asterales; Asteraceae.
AUGGAUUUCGUCUUUAUUUGCAUGUGUGGAUCUGUGAGAUUCAUUUUUCAAAUAUCGACGAUCUGUUGAUGCUUUUGGUUACUGGAACGACUUUUGAAGAGGUUUAUUGUAAAUGUGAGCUUAUGUGACCGACGAUACGACAUGUAUUCUUAUUUGCAAAAGUAGUGGCAGAGGAGACUUUCAGAUGAAUAUUUUACUUGCUGAAUGAGUCUAUGGGUGUGGAAUAACUUAGAUUUGUUGUAUAAAGAUUAAAGAGCUAUGGAAGACAUGUACAUGGGCCACUGGUGGAUGUUCUAAGAGAUAAAGAGAGUUUUCUAGCUUUCCUCAAAGCCUCCUGAUGGAGAAAGUUAAAGUUUGGUUAGGACAUAAUACGAACAAAAGUCAACAUCUUUGAUGUGAUUACAUAUAUAUGGGACCUGAAGCAAUAGAUAUUAUGUUGGCUUCUACGUUGGCAUAAACAUCACAACACAAUUAAAAACGCCAGUUGGCAUUUUAUAUAUGUGGAGGGAAAUAUCAGUAUCUUUUAGACACAAUGGACAUCAAUCCCGAUCCCUUAGACUUGAUAUUGAUGAUUUUAUUAAUGAGUUUAGAGACCGAGUUUAGUUAUCCUAGAUUGUUCCAACCGAGUAUAAAUACAUAUCGAAAGAAGUCUUACCCACAAAUCAAUUCUCUGUUACCGAGUACUUCUCCCCGAUGAAUGAAUAUGACAGGACAUGGCCAGCGGUUUACUUUUUAUAUUAUCUUUCACCUAUUACUGUUACCAUCAAAGAAGAGCGACAGAGUUUUCUCCACUUCAUAACUCGGUUAUGUGCGGUGCU